GGCUGGAGAGAUGGCUCAGUGGUUAAGAGCACCAACUGCUCUUCCGGAGGUCCUGAGUUCAAUUCCCAGCAGCCA
Molecule: transfer RNA, 75 nt
Filed under: Mus musculus (house mouse)
Lineage: Eukaryota; Metazoa; Chordata; Mammalia; Rodentia; Muridae
Description: tRNA-Ser
Source: RNAcentral